CUGCAGCCCGAGUGGUGACCGAUAUUAUUGAGCCUAAAGCGUCCGUAGCCGGACUAGUAAACCCUUGGGUAAAUUGGGCAGCUUAACUGUCCGAAUUCCGAGGGGACUGCUAGUCUUGGGACCGGGAGAGGUCAGAGGUACUCAAGGGGUAGGGGCUAAAUCCUGUAAUCCUUUGGGGACCACCAGUGGCGAAGGCGUCUGACUAGAACGGAUCCGACGGUAAGGGACGAAACCCUGGGGCGCGAACCGGAUUAGAGACCCGAGUAGUCC
This 270-nucleotide ribosomal RNA is filed under the name uncultured archaeon. Its description in RNAcentral is "partial 16S ribosomal RNA". It matches the Rfam family "Archaeal small subunit ribosomal RNA", at positions 477 to 747 of the family's 1478-position model. The record is from RNAcentral.